RNAcentral lists this long non-coding RNA (516 nucleotides) under Rattus norvegicus (Norway rat). Its description in RNAcentral is "long non-coding RNA NONRATT007418". Lineage: Eukaryota; Metazoa; Chordata; Mammalia; Rodentia; Muridae. The record is from RNAcentral.
GGUGCCACACUGGGCAGAUAAAGGUGCUACUGUGGGCACUGCCAGGGGGAAGCGGUGUUCCAGCAAAGCAGUGUGAGGCCAGCCCGCUUCUCCCCUUCCUCCUGGUGGUGGUGUAUUUGAGGGGAGCUCGAUCCUCUAUCAUCAGACGGAGGAGGGCAGCGGUGCAGGUGACUGCCCAGGUUUCAGUGAGGAGAGAGAGGCCUCAGCAGGAUCCAGGUGUGGAGCUGAGCUUCUGUUCAGCCUCUCAGGCAGGCAGGGAGGCUUCGUCCUUUCUCCCACGGCAGGGCCUAGCGGGAAGCAGAGUCCUCAGCCUUCCAUCCUCACACCCGAAAAAUAGAAACGUUCAGGAUCAGAACACAGUAAGCCAUCCCUGGCAUCCAGGAAAAGUCGUGUCACGUAUGAGAACAGCCAGCGACAGACAGUGGAACCGAGAUGCUAGAAUUCUGGCAAGGAUUUUAAACUGUCACGAGAGUCCUUUGGAAAGCUAUUUGUUUAUUUAAACAACUAAAAAAAAAA